AGGUCGAAGCUCCACAUACAUUGUUGUGAAUUCAAGCAGUCCAGAAAGUGUUCCAGAUUCGACUGUUAUUUCUACUUUGAUUACUGGGAUCACAGUGAGACCAACUACCAGUUUGACCUCUCCUUUGACCCCCAGCACAGCAGUGAAUCCUACAUCAGGAGGUCAAAGCUCCACAGAAAGUGUUCUGGGUUUGACUGUUACUUCUACUUUGACCCCUGGCAUCACAGUGAGAACAACUAAGCCACUUGAUUUCCUGUGGCGUCACAUCCUCACUGUGUUGGUUCUACUGGCUACCUGUGGAGUAAUUAUACACUAUGUCAUCUCCCAUCAAUGCCCUAAAG
Long non-coding RNA from Salvelinus namaycush (lake trout), 341 nucleotides. RefSeq lists it as uncharacterized. The transcript has 6 exons. Lineage: Eukaryota; Metazoa; Chordata; Actinopteri; Salmoniformes; Salmonidae. The record is from RefSeq and is a predicted model, not a curated record.